Molecule: long non-coding RNA, 643 nt
Filed under: Zostera marina
Lineage: Eukaryota; Viridiplantae; Streptophyta; Magnoliopsida; Alismatales; Zosteraceae
Description: long non-coding RNA (ZMAR_LNC004032)
Source: RNAcentral
ACAUCUAUAAAUAAAGAACACACGCUUGGUUUCUAAAAUACACUAUCUAACUUAAUUACCAUAAUUCUUCUGGUAUCAGAGCUCCCUACGAAUACCGACUCAACCAACAAUUCCACUUUUGCUACAACCUUAUCGUCAGUAGAGACAUCAUCGUCGCAUAAAACCCCUGCUGGCGAUGACAAGUUAGUAAGGAUAAAGCAUCUACAAACGAUAACCCUGGACAGAGAGAAUUUUCAAGUAUAGAGAACACAGUUUACAACCUUACUCCGCAACAAUAUGCUCAACUAGGAUUGGACAUGGGUCGACUUUCCGGACCCGAGUUUUCAAAUCGGGUUUGGGUUCAGGGAAAAGUCAAAAAAUAUUGAACCGGACCUGGUUUUGAUGUCGGGUUCAGGUCCGGAUUCGGGUUUAAUAAAUUGAUUGAAUAUUUUAUAUAAAAACCUUGUUGUUUAAAUAAUAUUUAAAUUUUAUAAAAAUUAAAUAAAAUGGUUUGUAAAGAUAGAGAGGGUUUGUGAAGAUGGAGAGAUCCGACGACGUCGAGGAGAGGGUCGGCGACGGCGAAGAGGAAAAAUGAAAGUGGAAGAGGAGAGGGAAUUGAAAUUAAUGUUUAAAUUUUAAUAUAUGGAAUUAACUAGUUAAGGUU